This 256-nucleotide unclassified non-coding RNA is filed under the name Hevea brasiliensis (rubber tree). The record is from RNAcentral. Lineage: Eukaryota; Viridiplantae; Streptophyta; Magnoliopsida; Malpighiales; Euphorbiaceae.
UUCCAUUCCUAUUUUCUCAAAGUUUGUCAAGUUACCAAGAGAGAGACCAACCAUAAGGAAGUACUCCUACCUCUCAUUAGACUUCAGAAACUUCUAUAAAGAAGAAGAUCAAUUACAGCAUUCAGUGCAAUUACUCACUUGCCCGUCACCUUGAAACCGAGCCGAAAACUGGUCGGAUUGCUGCCUUGAAAUCUUCAUAAAACUUCAGAUCAGAAAAUCUCUCUGCACGCCUCCUUGCUGCAGCAGCCAUUUUGAG